Molecule: ribosomal RNA, 468 nt
Filed under: uncultured bacterium
Lineage: Bacteria
Description: partial 16S ribosomal RNA
Rfam family: Bacterial small subunit ribosomal RNA
Source: RNAcentral
GACGAACGCUGGCGGCGUGCUUAACACAUGCAAGUCGAACGGAAAGGCCCUGCUUUUGUGGGGUGCUCGAGUGGCGAACGGGUGAGUAACACGUGAGUAACCUGCCCUUGACUUUGGGAUAACUUCAGGAAACUGGGGCUAAUACCGGAUAGGAGCUCCUGCUGCAUGGUGGGGGUUGGAAAGUUUCGGCGGUUGGGGAUGGACUCGCGGCUUAUCAGCUUGUUGGUGGGGUAGUGGCUUACCAAGGCUUUGACGGGUAGCCGGCCUGAGAGGGUGACCGGCCACAUUGGGACUGAGAUACGGCCCGGACUCCUACGGGAGGCAGCAGUAGGGAAUAUUGCACAAUGGGCGGAAGCCUGAUGCAGCAACGCCGCGUGCGGGAUGACGGCCUUCGGGUUGUAAACCGCUUUCGCCUGUGACGAAGCGUGAGUGACGGUAAUGGGUAAAGAAGCACCGGCUAACUACGUG